UUAAGCGACUAAGCGUACACGGUGGAUGCCCUGGCAGUCAGAGGCGAUGAAGGACGUGCUAAUCUGCGAUAAGCGUCGGUAAGGUGAUAUGAACCGUUAUAACCGGCGAUUUCCGAAUGGGGAAACCCAGUGUGAUUCGUCACACUAUCAUUAACUGAAUCCAUAGGUUAAUGAGGCGAACCGGGGGAACUGAAACAUCUAAGUACCCCGAGGAAAAGAAAUCAACCGAGAUUCCCCCAGUAGCGGCGAGCGAACGGGGAGGAGCCCAGAGCCUGAAUCAGUGUGUGUGUUAGUGGAAGCGUCUGGAAAGGCGCGCGAUACAGGGUGACAGCCCCGUACACAAAAAUGCACAUGCUGUGAGCUCGAUGAGUAGGGCGGGACACGUGGUAUCCUGUCUGAAUAUGGGGGGACCAUCCUCCAAGGCUAAAUACUCCUGACUGACCGAUAGUGAACCAGUACCGUGAGGGAAAGGCGAAAAGAACCCCGGCGAGGGGAGUGAAAAAGAACCUGAAACCGUGUACGUACAAGCAGUGGGAGCACAGAGCAAUCUGUGUGACUGCGUACCUUUUGUAUAAUGGGUCAGCGACUUAUAUUCUGUAGCAAGGUUAACCGAAUAGGGGAGCCGAAGGGAAACCGAGUCUUAACUGGGCGUUAAGUUGCAGGGUAUAGACCCGAAACCCGGUGAUCUAGCCAUGGGCAGGUUGAAGGUUGGGUAACACUAACUGGAGGACCGAACCGACUAAUGUUGAAAAAUUAGCGGAUGACUUGUGGCUGGGGGUGAAAGGCCAAUCAAACCGGGAGAUAGCUGGUUCUCCCCGAAAGCUAUUUAGGUAGCGCCUCGUGAAUUCAUCUCCGGGGGUAGAGCACUGUUUCGGCAAGGGGGUCAUCCCGACUUACCAACCCGAUGCAAACUGCGAAUACCGGAGAAUGUUAUCACGGGAGACACACGGCGGGUGCUAACGUCCGUCGUGAAGAGGGAAACAACCCAGACCGCCAGCUAAGGUCCCAAAGUCAUGGUUAAGUGGGAAACGAUGUGGGAAGGCCCAGACAGCCAGGAUGUUGGCUUAGAAGCAGCCAUCAUUUAAAGAAAGCGUAAUAGCUCACUGGUCGAGUCGGCCUGCGCGGAAGAUGUAACGGGGCUAAACCAUGCACCGAAGCUGCGGCAGCGACGCUUAUGCGUUGUUGGGUAGGGGAGCGUUCUGUAAGCCUGUGAAGGUGUGCUGUGAGGCAUGCUGGAGGUAUCAGAAGUGCGAAUGCUGACAUAAGUAACGAUAAAGCGGGUGAAAAGCCCGCUCGCCGGAAGACCAAGGGUUCCUGUCCAACGUUAAUCGGGGCAGGGUGAGUCGACCCCUAAGGCGAGGCCGAAAGGCGUAGUCGAUGGGAAACAGGUUAAUAUUCCUGUACUUGGUGUUACUGCGAAGGGGGGACGGAGAAGGCUAUGUUGGCCGGGCGACGGUUGUCCCGGUUUAAGCGUGUAGGCUGGUUUUCCAGGCAAAUCCGGAAAAUCAAGGCUGAGGCGUGAUGACGAGGCACUACGGUGCUGAAGCAACAAAUGCCCUGCUUCCAGGAAAAGCCUCUAAGCAUCAGGUAACAUCAAAUCGUACCCCAAACCGACACAGGUGGUCAGGUAGAGAAUACCAAGGCGCUUGAGAGAACUCGGGUGAAGGAACUAGGCAAAAUGGUGCCGUAACUUCGGGAGAAGGCACGCUGAUAUGUAGGUGAAGUCCCUCGCGGAUGGAGCUGAAAUCAGUCGAAGAUACCAGCUGGCUGCAACUGUUUAUUAAAAACACAGCACUGUGCAAACACGAAAGUGGACGUAUACGGUGUGACGCCUGCCCGGUGCCGGAAGGUUAAUUGAUGGGGUCAGCGCAAGCGAAGCUCUUGAUCGAAGCCCCGGUAAACGGCGGCCGUAACUAUAACGGUCCUAAGGUAGCGAAAUUCCUUGUCGGGUAAGUUCCGACCUGCACGAAUGGCGUAAUGAUGGCCAGGCUGUCUCCACCCGAGACUCAGUGAAAUUGAACUCGCUGUGAAGAUGCAGUGUACCCGCGGCAAGACGGAAAGACCCCGUGAACCUUUACUAUAGCUUGACACUGAACAUUGAGCCUUGAUGUGUAGGAUAGGUGGGAGGCUU
Molecule: ribosomal RNA, 2131 nt
Filed under: Escherichia coli
Lineage: Bacteria; Pseudomonadati; Pseudomonadota; Gammaproteobacteria; Enterobacterales; Enterobacteriaceae
Description: bacterial LSU rRNA
Rfam family: Bacterial large subunit ribosomal RNA
Source: RNAcentral